UCCAUACGGAUCCUUUAUAUCCCUUUUUACUCUCCUUCUUUCUCAAGCUUCGUCAUUCUACACAAACCCUAAAACCAAAGUUGUUCAUCAGGUUCUUUCGUUCAAUAAUCCUUCGUCGCCGCUUUCAUUCUUCGUUGUGGCGAUCAGAGGUUUGAUAAAUGUUCAAUUCCCCACAAACCCUAAAACUAAAGACGCCAUUCAUCUUUAAUCGUUUUUCGUCGAUUCAAGUUUGAUAAACAAAGAUUUUCAAUCAAAUCUUUGUUGAUUCCGAUGGUGCCGUCGUCAAAGAAGAUAAGUGCACCGGUGAGGAAUUGUUUUGGAACGAUCGGACGGGAAUGUGUGAUUAAGGCGUAUCACUUUCUUGUGGAUCUAGGUCAAAAGGAUGAAAAAUCUCAGGGAAUGAUGUAAUAUUUUGGCUCGUAGAUAAAUAUGGGAUCAACGAUGUUAAUGAUGCUACUAAGUAUUACAAGAUAGUUGUUGAGCGUGGGUUCACAAGAGGACGAAUAACGGCACAAGUUGCAGUUGCUUACCUCUAUGUUGUGUGUCGGUAAGUGAUUACUAAUAUUCCAGUUUUGAUUUAUUUUUUUUGGUUUUAACAAGUGAUGAUAGCUUCUUGGUACAAAUCAAUCUAAUUAUAUAGAAGAUUACAAAUUGGAUCAACUGCCAUGAUUGGAAGUACGUUGGUAUGUAUGUAAUAAAACCAUUCUUUUUCCCGUUUCUUCAUAUAUCAGAGUAUAGGAUAUAUUGUAUUCUACUUGUUGAAGUUGUAAUCUUUUAAAGUUAUAUUCUGAGUUUAACUUGAAAAACGAACACGUAAUCAAUCAGACCAGUUGCUUUGGUUUAUAACUUGGGUGUAAGGGGCAUUUAUGAAUGUAACUAUCAGUGUAAGCAUACAAUGGAAUUACGACACCUUUGGUAGAAAGAUGAAGGCUGUUGGAGCAAGUGAUCAUGGAGUGAGAUUGAAGCCAACUCUUAACUUACUAACAAAAACAAAUGUCAAUUUCAUAUUUACCAAAAGAUCAUCAUCAGUUAUGGAGUGGUUGGAGAUGAAGUGAUGAUGAUAGUGAUGGUUUCCGGUGACCGAACGACCGGAAUGAAAGCAGUGGUGAUGGUCGAUAGUGGUGGUUGCGGUUCAAGUUGGUGACGGUGAUGGUCGAUAGUGGUUUUUUUAAUUAAUAUUUUGAGGAUUGUUGGAAGGAGGUUUGUUAAGGUGAGUUCUAUUGGAGUGACCUAUGGUUGAGGUGUUUUGUGAGUUUGGGAGGGAAUUCAUUCCCAAAGCUCAAUACAUAAAUAAACAUACAUUGGACGCGGAAUCCGUUUUGAUGUCGGGUUAUCUUAUACCCGUUCAUUCGGAUCUAUAUAAAAGGCACUACCCAGUAAUUCAGACCACUUUCUUUCCUGUUCCCUCUAAACCCUGGCCGACAACUUCAUCGUAUUCUUUGUUCUUCUUUGCUAAUCUGCCCUCUCAAUUCGAAGAUGAAGAUGAGCAUCAGUCUUGAUGUAAACUCCAUGGCGUCCAG
Helianthus annuus (common sunflower) is the source of this 1520-nucleotide long non-coding RNA. RefSeq lists it as uncharacterized. The transcript has 7 exons. NCBI's taxonomy places the organism in Eukaryota, Viridiplantae, Streptophyta, Magnoliopsida, Asterales, Asteraceae. The record is from RefSeq and is a predicted model, not a curated record.